RNAcentral lists this long non-coding RNA (8073 nucleotides) under Gallus gallus (chicken). RNAcentral's name for it is "lncRNA (ENSGALG00010008858.1)". The record is from RNAcentral. Lineage: Eukaryota; Metazoa; Chordata; Aves; Galliformes; Phasianidae.
AAAAUGCUAACGAAUUCUUAAGUGUAAACAGAAAUAUGUGAACAAGAUUCCAUUACUGGAAGGCAGACAAAAAUUGUUGGAGAUUACAUUUGAAUAAGGAUGAAAAUUUGUCCCUUGGAAUAGCAUGUAUUGCUCUGCAUUCCAUAACACUUUCUGUGUUUGAAUCAAGAAUUUAAAGGACAAUACUGUUUAAUCUACCUAUUCAGCUGAAAGCAGAAGUCAAUAUAGUCCACUGUAUUUAUUUACAGAUAGAUGGAAUCACGGUCUUUCAUAUCAGAAAGCUCUAAACAUCUACUUCUAAGCACACAUAGGUAGUUGCGAUGUUUAAAAUAAUAGUAAAAUAGAAAAUGGAAUGGAAAAUAGAAUCUCAAUGUGCUUUUCUGUCCAGCUUUUUUUAAUGGGACAUUUAUCCUAUUAAGGUAAUUUUUUAUCCUUCAACUUUUCAUUGGAGUGGGUUGUGGUAUUUUUAAAACUUUAUCUCUCUCCCUCUCCAUCUUUCUCUUUUUUUUCUUUAAAACAACAAAAAAUGAUUAACUACUUAUUUGUGCUUAGCAUUCUCAGCAGAAAAAUGUUCUGUUAGCAUUUUGCAGAAUGAUUGCAACAAAUGUGUUCAAGGGAAUAUGAGUAAAUGAUGAUAGUCCACAGGCACAAGUGAUGCUGUAUUUAAGCUUCAAACACUGGAGUGCAUCACUGAUAACUGAGAUGUAUAGCUAUAUUGACAUAUACACAGAGAUUUACUGUGAUGCUCUUGCAGAUUGUUUUCAAAUGCAUCUCAGCUUCUUCAGGAAAUCAAAUGUAGUUGCUGCUCAAAAGAAGAGUAAAAAGUCUCCAUACCAUUUGUAUUGCAUAUGAAGCAAAGCCAUUAUGAAAACUUCAUUAAUAUGUAAAUUGCAACAUUUUGAUUAGCACUUGCAGACCUCUUUUGUUAAGAAAAGAGACGGAAAGAUUUAACCAGAUUGCAAUAAUUUACAUAAUAACUCAGUGGUGGCAAUGCCACCGAAAGCGAACCUAAGGAAGGCUAUAUCUUUUUUAAUAGCUUAAUGCUUUAUUAAAACACAUAGUACAAAAGAAAGGAAAAUAUUUUUCUUGAAACUGACAAAUUCUUAUUUGGCUGGUAGUAGGAUAAAUUAAUGAUGUGCUGGUGCUUAUUUUAAAAUAAUCAAACAUAUAUUUACUUGGCAAAGGAAUAAAAACUAUUUGGGGUCAUUGUACAGUGGACUGAAAUUAUGUGAAGAGUAGCUUUUGUAAUUUAUUUCUAUUCAUUUUUCCCUACAGUGAUUUUGAAAUGUGCCAGAUCCUAUUAUUCUGGAAAGCAAUGGAGGUUUGUCCACUUAUUUCAAGGAACUCGAGUCUUAUGUCUGUAGUUUUGAUUUUCAAACCGAUUGAUUUUUAAUUUUUCUCAAACUGCAUUGGAACAUGCAUUUCUCUCACUCAAAGAAAGGAUCAGAUCACAGCAUCAUUACUGUACAAGAUGACAUCUGGAUUUGUAAGUUCUGAUAUGUGCAUCGCAUAGAAUCAGAGAAUCACAGAAUUGUAGUAUCACAUACCAGAUGGUGAGAUCUAUCCAUAGGAUUUAUAAGUAUACUAGAUUUGGAGUUGCUUGAGCAAUAUCACAAACGUAGGUUGUUAUGGUUUUCCUUAUUGUUAAUACUAAAGUAUUCAGAACAAUAAGAUAAUGAAGUCUAUCUAAGUAUCAGCAUUUUGCUUCUGCUACUGGUCAUUUGAAAUAUAUUUCUGUAUUUGGUUACCAUAAAGGGAGCCCAUUACCAGUCAGGUUUUCCCAGCAUUUUCAGCCACUAUCAAGAGACAAUGGAGUAUCUACAGCUGACUUACUUAGUGGCAACAUAGAAGAUAGUAGUAGCAGGAAAAAAAAAAGAAAGAAAAUAAUACAUUUUUAUAUAUUCACCAAAAUUCUGAGACCUCAACGCAAUACAGGAAAAAGAAGAGAAAAAAAAAGGUAUUUGAAAUGCAAAUUUCAACAGCUCUGCUCGGUGCUACUUGAAAAUAUAUUACAAGCAUCAUACUAGAUUUAUCCGAAGAAGUAACUGUGAUCUUUUAAAAUUAGUGUUCUUCGUGACAUAUUCUGCUUGUUACACUUCCAUAGGUGGUUGGUUUUUUUUUAUUUGUUUUUUUUUCUUUUUUUCCAGCUGGUUUCUAUAGAAAAGGCUUCAUUAUGAUGUAACUAAAACCAAUAUUGAUCUAUGAGUUAAUAAUAACAAUAUAGAUUUUUGCCAUUAAAAGGAUAUUUUAUCACAUUGGGAAAAGAGUUUAUAUGAAGUUAUGUGCCCACAAGGAACUUCAGAAUAGCAAUGAAUGAAUCUGUAGAGAUUUUUUUUUUUUACAUGACUUUGUUAAGCCCUUAAAACAUUUAUAGAGAUUUUAAUGUUUUUGAGCUCAUUGUAAAAACACAAAACUUUGGCAAACUUUUUUCAAAAGUAUUGAGGAUACAGUAAAAAAUAUCCCAAAUAAGUGGACAUUCUUAUAAGAAUGACUGGGCUUUCAGCUGGUGACUAUCAGCCUUACUCCCCUGAAUUUGAUAAGCAUAUGCCGCCUGUCUGGUGUUGCAGGCCUUUACAGUGUGGAGUCUUCCACAAAAGCAUAAGCCUAGCUCUAAAUUAUGAACCAUUUUUUGAGUUGAUGAGAUAACGCUAAUAAGCAAUAGGUAAAGAUCUGGCAGACAAGAUGCAUGUGAGUCAUGAAUGUGAAAAAAAACCUAAACAAUAGAACUACUAGGUAUUAUCUGUCAUUUAAGACCAGUAUGUACUGACUAGCCCAUGGGUGUCCAAUGUUUUGGCUUGCCUGGGUUGCAUUAAGUGAAGAGGAAUAAUCUUGGUCAAUAUAUAUAAUAUAAAAUAUAGUUAAUUUAUAUAAGUAACAAAACUUAUUAUUUUAAUAUUUUAUUUUGUUAAAGCAUAACCAAAAGAGCAAUGGAAACAUAAGAGUAGUGAGAUAUUUGACCUUGUUUUUGUGAAACUGUGCAUCAGUCUGUUUUGAUGGAAGGGGUUGAAAAUCUUAGUGAGUUAUCAAGGUAUUUGCCAGAGAUUUUUUGAUUAAAUUUACCAAUACUUUAUCCAUAAAUAUAUGUGAACACAUAUGUACAUACUGCUGUCGUGUUUUUAUAAUUUUUUGUUAUUGGUAUUCCACAUCAUAACAUCAUGUAGUGUACUGGGAGUUAAAGAGUUAAUGCUCCAGUUCUGGGCACCUGUCCAGAAGAGAAGAACUACAUUCCCCAGAACACUUUGCAUUCAGAGAGGAGAUAUAACCCCUGCCAUAGUCACAACACCUUCCCUUUUUUGGCUCUCCUCCCUGCUGCUUGUCCUGACCGCGCACAUUGCCACAGCACUAGUGCAAGGCCUACAGCUUUUGGACACUCUUUCUCUCAUUAUAUUUGAUUUAUAUGCUUAAAUUCUAAUUAUAUUGUUUUAUAGUGUGUUAUCUUGCAUUCCGAUACCAUAUUUAGUAAAUUAGUUUGUUUCUCCUCAGAUCAUUUCCACUGUUAUUAAUUAUUCGGGGUCCCCUGUUUCCCCAUUCCAGAGGUGCAGAUCUGCGGAUCCCUCUGCAAUGAAAAGUGAAAAAACAGUGAGAAAAAGGGCUAAAAUGACCAUUUUGGGCUCUUGGUGGUUUAGGGGUGUUUUUAGGGUUUUUUUGUGCUCUUUUUGCUGUUUUUUUUUUGCCCCAGAUGAUCCCUCCUAACUGUGCUUAGGGUCACCUGGGUGCUUUAGUGAUCACUAGUCAAGAGACAGGGCCAAACCAUCCCAUAAAACAUUGACAGCUGCCAAGAAGCAAUGGUAUGAAUAAGAAGUGAUUGUGAAGUGAAAAAUAUUUUUAUCUGAUAAGGUAGGUUUGAUAAAGUGUAAUGAAGAGACAUAUUCUUUGAAUUGAAUAUCUGACUGCAGCUCUACACAUUCCCUUUGAAAAUCUACAGGUAAUUCAUUUAUAUCAACUGAAAAUGGAGUUGCAAAUUUACCAUGCAGCCCACGGGUUGGACACGACUGGACUAGCCUGUAUAUCAUUAUUGUUUGUGUGAUUAUCUCCUAACAAGAUUAGUGGAUACUCUUUACUGGAUAUUUCAAUCACUUUUUUGUUUUUAAGAAUGUUAACUAGUAUAUAGGAUUCCUAGCUACCGUAAAAGUCAUGAGUUGUUACAUGAUAAGCAAUUCUUGAUAACUGGCAUUUGAUUAAUGUGUUUGCAGAAAAAUCAGCGCCAAGUCCCCACUGUAGCUCCCUGAAGAAUGCUUACUGAAAGGUGAAUGGCUGAGACUGAGCAGUAGUUUGUGACACACAGUACCCAGUAUGAUUCUUUCUGAGGUGGGAGUUGAACAGCCCUUUUAGCUUUCCAGACCAGAGUCUCCAGUUUGCCUGAACUGUGCUUUGUUUUUGAGCUCAUUGUAAAGACUCAGAAGGGAAAACACGACAUUUCAGUUAUCCUUUUGCUCCUUCUUUCAGGACCUGCCAGGUGCCUGUUAAGUCUUUGCCAUGAAUCAUUUAUCCUUGAGCUUGUCUGUUUUAUGAGGCCAGCCCAUAGUUGCUGGGGCCACUGUAGUAUCAGGAGACUGGGAACUCCAAAGUGCAGCAGAGCUAAUGAUAUCUUCUUUUCAGCCACAUUCGUACUGGCAAAAUGGAUAUUUUAGAAGCUAUUGUGCUACUGUAAAAGCAAAGGGAUAUGGCUUUAAUGAGGGACUGGAAUGAAUCAGACUUGCUAAUCAGGUAUGCUGUCCAUGUUGCCAGUGCUGCUGCUUUAUGAUAGCAUAAACAGUGCUGAUAGCCAUUAUGUGUAUUUAACAGAGGUGUCUGGUUCUGUGCUACCAUUUUCUUUGCAGCAGAGCUAGAACUGUUUUCCAAUGAAUUGUAGAUCAUCUUCCCUUCCAAGGAGUCAGAACAGUUCAGAGAGUCAGUCGGGUGUGUGCAAACUUGACUUCAUUCACGGGAAACUAAACUGUAGGUUCUCUUCCCAAUAAGCACCAAAUGUUUUCCAGAAGUCACUGAAGACGCAGGAAUGCAACACAAUGACUUGUUCGCUACAGCACAAGGCCUCCUGCGCAUGCCAAGUGUCUUAGUUUCAGUUUUGAUGGAAUUGUUUUCUUCAGAGUGUCUGGUGUGCUGCUGCGUUUUUGGUUCUAGGAGAAAAACAGUGCUGAUAACUCACCGAUGUUUAUAGUUGCUGCUAAGCAAUGUUGUACAGAACCAAGUACAUUCACUGCAAGAAGCCCAAGGAGCUGGGAGGGACAUAAUUAGGACAGCUGACUUAAAUUGGCCAUAGGGAUAUUCCAUACCAUAUGACAUCAUGUGGAAGGUGUUUUGAAAGAAUGGGAGUUCAUCUCACUCUCUUCCACUGCUCAAGGGGCUAGCUAAACAUCAGUCGGCAGAUGGUGAGAAAUUGCUUGUGCAUCGUGUGUUACAUAUAUUCAUAUAUAUAUAUAUAUGUAUAUACCAUUUUCCUUUUCUCUAUCUUAUUAAAUAGUUUUAACUCACAAGUUCUACUUUGUUUUUUCCAAUUCUCUUCCCCACCCCACUUGGAGGGUGGGAGUGAGUGAACAACUGUCUGGUGCUCAGCCACCUUCCAGGUUAAACCACAACACCAAGCAUGCCUGUGCCAUUUGAAUAUUUAGAAACCAACAGGAGGUCAUGAAAUGUUCAGAAGAGCUCUUUUAUUGUAUGACAAUCCAUUAGAUUUGUAUGCCUUUAUAUUUACCGUUGAUUAUACAGCCAUCUCUUCAUUCAAGAUCCUUUCUCUUCUUUAACUGCUUUAUCUUUGGUUGUUUUCUACCCUUUCUGUUUUUGUAUUCUAUGACUCUUGAAGAAUUAUACCUCUUUUCUUCCUGUAGAAAUGGCAAUAUACCACCCUUUAUUCUCACAGAAGUUCCAGAAAGGUGCAUCAGACAUCAAUCUGUGCCCCCAAAGGCCAGAACUUUCACUGAAGUCAGGAUAGAACUUCAUUAUCAGCAACUGAAGAAAUCCACUAACCUCAUGACUGCAAUCACAUACACAAUGACCAUAUUAAAAUCAAGAAGAUUAAGUCCCUUUUAUUGAAGACACAGGACAAUAAGUUUCAUUUGGAGGUGUGCCCCUACUACAGAGUCUUCAUAAAUAUGGUCUGGUGAGAACACCGGACUGAGCCAGUCGCUAUUUUGGAGGCUACACCAUGUGUCUUGUAUUCAUUAUAAGCGACACCCUGAUAGGCAACACUUCCCUUGGAGCUAAUUCAGGUCCUAACUCAUGAGCACCACAGAAGACAUCUGCAAAGGACUAUCUGAGGACUCUAUCAUGGUCUGCAUCAGGAACACCCUCUGCUUCAGAUACCAACCAGGGAGGAGCCCUGUCUGCUCACUCGCAGUAUUGUCCCAGAGUCGGAGAAGCAAGAUGUCAUCUACCCCUACAAAACCUUUGUUUGGACAAUGAGCAAACUCAGAAUAAGGAAGUGGCUGGGAAGAAGACACCAGAAAUUAUCCAGCUUUCUCAUUUCAGCAAAGAUUGUUUCUGUGUGUGAUCAUACACACAAUCAUAGGUGCAGCAGCGACAUGUUUCAGUAUUCUGCACGAGACAGACAGAAAGACUGUAGAGGACUUCUUUGACUUGCCUAUAUGAGGUUCUGCAUCAAGAAAGCCAAGAUUUUAGAAUUGCUUUGCUGUAAGCAUCAUGGAUACAUGGAUGUUCAGCCAAAUAGAACAGGCUAUAUCUGGUCUGAUGCACACUCCAAGAUACGCAUGCUUCAAUUGUAAGGGUGUCGUCACUUGCUCAUCUGUUAGUCUGCUCCUAUUGCACCAACCUUCUUAUACUGACAUCAGGUUUGUGCCUGCAGCUGAGCACGCUAUGAAGAUGCGCAAGGAUGCAAGACCUGCUAGCGUCAAAAGACAGGACUCAACAGCAGGAGAAAAACCUGGUCCAGACCCAUCUAUAUUGCCCAUCUGAGCACUGCCAGAGCAGAACUAUGGAGCCAGGCCUGGAUUUUAGCUGAGCUUUGCAGGUGUGUCCAGCACUCAGAGAGCUUCCCUGAAGACAGCAGAGGAGCAAAGUGGUGUGUGGUUCUGCACUGAGAGAAGCUGAAAACAAUAAAAUUAUCUAAUUUGUUCAUUCAAAAAACCACAGUGAACAAAACCAAUCCUUCAGUCAUAAAGGCCUUGGCUGUUGCCUGUAGUGCUCCUAAAUAAGAGGGAGUGUGGAUGCUUAACCCCUGGACAGAAGAAAGAAUGAUCUGUGUCUGUGAUUUCAAUGUUCUCUUAACCUCCCCCACUCUAGGGUGGUGAUUAGGUACUUUAGUAUAUUUGGUAAACACUGUUUUCAGCCGUUCUACCUAAUGAAUAGAGAGAGACAUUGCCAGCCCUUUCCCCUAAUCAUAUGUGGAAGAGUGAAUAGAAGGCAGACAACACCGUGGAGAGGCUGAACGCUGAUACUGAAUGUGAGGAAAACAACACACUUCUCAAAACAGCUGUUUUCUAGACUUAAAAAGCUAUGUAACCAGUACACUCUUCUCUCCUUACUGAAUCUUAAUAAGCAAUAAAAAUCUGUUCUGAAAUCUUUUAAAAUUAGCAAGGUCUUUACAUUUAUUUAAAUGGACUGUGGGACAGGCCCUAAAAAACCCCAACUGCUGCAGAUGCUUAUCUUACUGACCAUUUGAAGACUAUUUUAGCAAUACAGCUACUACAAGCAAAUAAAGCAAAUAUUCAAGAUGCACAAAGUAUUCUAAUGCUGCUGUAUCCAUGUUGUAAGUAUUGUACACACCUUUCUGAGUUUCCCAGUUGUUACCUAGUAUUACCAACGGGUGGGCCAGUCACUAAGGAUCUGUGGUCUAACUCCUACAGUAAAGUUGUGCAGCCCAGAGGCUCUACCUCAGGAAGAGGGCGUACACAGGCUGGAUCUGGUUUAGUGACACAAGGGACUUGACAAGGGAGCAGUGUUCAGAGCCUAUAAGACAUGAAAUCAUUUACUCUCAAAAGAAAAUUUCACAAGUGAUAAAUUUGCUUGUUCUCACACAGAUGUUAUAUGGCAGAAGUCUUCACCAUCCCAGCCACAGAUACAUACCUAAAUGUAGUCCAUUGAAAAUCCAAAAGAUUUUCUUCCGAAUAUAAUCACAGA